UUUAUUAGUACCUUUUUAUCUAUAUAUACAGUUCUAGUAUCUAUUUAUACAGUUUUUCGGAUUUCGUUUUUAAUAAUAGCUAACAUUCUCUAAUUUAUAUUUGAAAUAAAACGAAUAUAAGGACUUAAUGCAGAGAAAUAAAUAUUAUAAAGAAGAAAGAAAAUUGGAAAAAAUGAUGAUUUGAAAUAAUGAAAAAUGAUGCACUUGUACGUCAGUUUGAAUUAGUUAAGAUGCUGGUUGAUAGGAAUUAUCUGGAACAUCGUUGACAAGCUGGGACAGAUGAUCUUCCAUUGGUUUCUCUACGAGAGUUGUUAUCAUAUAUACGUUAUGAUGAUCAUUUUCGUGAAGGGUCAAUUCGUAUGAGGAUAGGAUGAUCUUUGGAACGUGUUGAGGCGAGAAUCGAGCUGCUAGUAAAGCUGCAAACGAAGACGAUAGAAUAGUGUUACAGGCACGACCAUGGAAACAACAAUACCCGCUGCUUUCAAUAUAAUCUACACCUGCUGCUGCAUCCCGUGCAACCUAGAGAUUACACGAGCACGAAACUUUAAAUGCGUUCGUGUGAUACACAGAUUUAUCGUGAUCGUGGUGUGAUACUAUUUUCUUUUUUUUUUUUUUUUGGUAUCCAGGAAGCGGGGAUGAUUAAAACGUUGGUAUUCAUAAUUCAAACUCGGGAGAAAAUUCUAUGAAUUUUUAUUACGACGCUCGUGAAUCGAGGCGAAUAUCGCGUACUGACCGUUGUUAAAUGAAGAAAGCAGAAAUGUAUCGCUCUUUGGACGUCUUGAAUGUCUUUUCAUGGUCACACGCUUGUCCCCGAUUUUUCAUUUUUUUUUUCACAGUUUCUUUUUUUCUGUACGCGUUACAUGUACAGGGUGUCUCAAAAAUGCGUUGUGAAAAAAUUUUCGUUUUUAAAUUAUUAACAAGAAACAGUGGCUCGACAUAUUCAACGUUAUCGACACGUUCGAUAAAUUUAUGUGAUUAUGUUUUUUUUAUUAAUAACUUGUCAAGAAAGUUGAAACGAAAGUUUCUGAAAGGAAAAUGUUGCUUAAAAUUAUCUCAGAGGUCUCCAAUUAAUCAAUGUUACGACAUUUUUGAAACAUUCUAUCUAUACGUAAACAUUCUAUCUUACAUUCGUUAGGGAAUCGAAUACCAAAUAUUUUUCAUUGUAUUUUUGGCUAAAAUAAAUCUAAUUCUAAAUAUAUUAGAGCGAGUUUUGAAACAACGAAGAAGUGAGGAAUGACGGGAUGAACGUUUAUGAUAGAUAUUCGCGAUAUAAAAAGAAAAAGAAAAUGAUAUAUAUUUCUUCUGUUUCGCAUGUUUCGAAUCGUUUUAUUUCUCUGUCAUUCUGUUAUUCAUUUAUUUCUUUCUAUUUUGCCGUGUUACAAACAGAAAGAAUUCUUAUAGUUAUUUUGUUCUUCUAAUUGAUAUAAAAUAUGAAAGUUAUUUUUUAUUUUUUACAACAUUUUUCAGGAUAUCUUUAUUGGAAAAAUAUUACUGAAUAAUAUUGUGAUAAUGAUAAUUGUUUAUUAAUUUAUGCCAAGUUGAUGCAAAAUUAUAUUUAGCGCAAUGAGACGAAAAUAAUGCUUCCUUAUCGUAACGUAAUAUUUUAUAAUGGCUUUUGUAUAUUGUAGCACGUUGCACUUUAUCGCGUCGUCCUUUUAACCAUCGUAACAAAGAUAUAAUUUUGUGGGACAUAAAUUUUCAUAGUCAUAAAUUAUCUCUAAACGCGGUUAACAAGUACCAAGAGGUAACGAGUUUAUCCGAAAGUGAAGUACGACUGCAUCGGGUGGAAUGGAAUAGCGGUAUUAGUGAAUUAUGGUCAUUUAACAUUUAGUAAUUUCAUAAAUCUUAUCCUGUAGUUGGAUAUUAAUUAGCAAUGGAAUUAAUUCGAGAUAGAAUAAACCGCGAUAUCAAUUUAAAGUAUCGUUAACGUGUAAUGUAUGAAAACAUAUUAAAUUUUAAUUUUACAGUCCUUUUGCAUUUAUCAAGAUUCAUCUUUAAUUUAUGUAUUUUCAACUUUAUUAUAUAUAUGUUUCACUU
Molecule: long non-coding RNA, 2037 nt
Organism: Apis laboriosa (Himalayan honeybee)
Lineage: Eukaryota; Metazoa; Arthropoda; Insecta; Hymenoptera; Apidae
Exons: 4
Source: RefSeq, a predicted model, not a curated record